UCUACUGAACUGCCAUGAGGAAACUG
RNAcentral lists this non-coding RNA (26 nucleotides) under Homo sapiens (human). Lineage: Eukaryota; Metazoa; Chordata; Mammalia; Primates; Hominidae. The record is from RNAcentral.